CAGGGGCAUCGUGGUGAAGAACAUUAGCCAGAGGGCUCAGGUGCUCCCAGACGGUGGCUUGAUGGCCUGUGCCACGUCCCUCUGGUCCCACCUCCAGGAGCGGGAUCACUGGCAGUAUCCGAAAGAAAUGUGGACUUGCUGGGUCAGUGGCUUUGUGACCAUCAGACACCUCCUGGAGGACUCGGUGGGUGAGCUGAGAUUGGAUUAGGUGGCUUCUUUUGCAGCUUUAUUCAAAGGU
Athene cunicularia (burrowing owl) is the source of this 238-nucleotide long non-coding RNA. RefSeq lists it as uncharacterized. Lineage: Eukaryota; Metazoa; Chordata; Aves; Strigiformes; Strigidae. The transcript is spliced from 3 exons. The record is from RefSeq and is a predicted model, not a curated record.